Long non-coding RNA from Clarias gariepinus (North African catfish), 981 nucleotides. RefSeq lists it as uncharacterized. Lineage: Eukaryota; Metazoa; Chordata; Actinopteri; Siluriformes; Clariidae. The record is from RefSeq and is a predicted model, not a curated record. The transcript is spliced from 3 exons.
UCAUCAAAGAGACACAAAUAAGGACGUCUUUACCUCCUCUUUACCUCCAUUCACCGCAUUACUGAUCUCUCACCAUGUCUAGUGGAAGAGGUGCUUCUGGUUUUUUGAGGAGCCAAGUUGGAAAUUUGGGGAUCUCCAGUCUUGUUCUGGUGGUUUUGGAGGAAAUGAUGGAUCAUGAUUUUGUUUGUCCUUGCCAGGAUGGCUUAAAUAAAGCAAUAUGCUGUUGUUAUGCCAUAGUGCCAUCCUUUGCUUGCUGUGCUUUUACCUUAUGCUUUGUUGACACGGAGGCUAAAGGAACCGAGGAUAAAGAAUGCGAGGAUAAAGGACCCAAGGAUGAAGGAAAUCAUUACAAAUGUAUUAAAGUGCUCUACCACUCGCUCAUAGUCUGCAUCUGGCUGUUUAUCUUCUUCAUCGAUGGCCGAUACGUGUCCUGUGCGUUUUCACACUGGGGUGGAGAGUACACUGAGACUGGGGCUUUAAAGUGGUGCAAACCGAACGGGAGUGAAACUGUGGUGUUUGAGAGAAUGCAGGAGACUCAGAGGUGUAUCACUGGAUCUCAGUUUGUGGGUUUUGCCAUAGCAUUGGUGAUCUCUCUCCUUCUACUAAUAUCAUAUUGCUGCUGCCGUGUUAGUGUUCAGCAGAUUAGAGACAUUCCAAUGAUGACCCGGAACUGAGAGAGAGCAGCAGGUGAAACAGCACAGAUUUACUGAUCAGAUGGUUGUGGGUUCAAGUACCAGGAUUGCCUUGUGCUGCAAGACGUUUGUACACAUUUAAAAUGCAAUAAGAAUAUAAUACAAUAUAACCAAAUGUUAGACACAUAAGAAUUUCAUGUACAAUGUAGACACCUACGUGACCUUGUGAUUUCCUCUGUAUAAUUUUUCCUUUGGGUUGUUAAGUAAACUGAGACAAAACUCAUGUAAUCUCUUAAUCUCUAAUUUAAAUCUAUAAAAAUAAAAUAAAUUAAACUCUUGUACUCCUCUG